AACGAACGCUGGCGGCAUGCCUAACACAUGCAAGUCGAACGAGACCUUCGGGUCUAGUGGCGCACGGGUGCGUAACGCGUGGUAACCUGCCCUUAGGUUCGGAAUAACUCCCCGAAAGGGGUGCUAAUACCGGUUAAUGUCUUCGGACCAAAGAUUUAUCGCCUUUGGAUGGGCCCGCGUUGGUUUAGCUAGUUGGUAGGGUAAAAGCCUACCAAGGCGACGAUCCAUAGCUGGUCUGAGAGGAUGAUCAGCCACACUGGGACUGAGACACGGCCCAGACUCCUACGGGAGGCAGCAGUGGGGAAUAUUGGACGAUGGGCGAAAGCCUGAUACAGCAAUGCCGCGUGAGUGAUGAAGGCCUUAGGGUUGUAAAGCUCUUUUACCCGGGAUGAUAAUGACAGUACCGGGAGAAUAAGCUCCGGCUAACUCCGUG
Molecule: ribosomal RNA, 433 nt
Filed under: uncultured bacterium
Lineage: Bacteria
Description: partial 16S ribosomal RNA
Rfam family: Bacterial small subunit ribosomal RNA
Source: RNAcentral